This 258-nucleotide ribosomal RNA is filed under the name Salmonella enterica subsp. enterica serovar Derby. Its description in RNAcentral is "partial 16S ribosomal RNA". It matches the Rfam family "Bacterial small subunit ribosomal RNA", at positions 997 to 1255 of the family's 1533-position model. Lineage: Bacteria; Pseudomonadati; Pseudomonadota; Gammaproteobacteria; Enterobacterales; Enterobacteriaceae. The record is from RNAcentral.
UUUUCAGAUAUGAGAAGUUGCCUUCGGGAACCGUGAGACAGGUGCUGCAUGGCUGUCGUCAGCUCGUGUUGUGAAAUGUUGGGUUAAGUCCCGCAACGAGCGCAACCCUUAUCCUUUGUUGCCAGCGGUUAGGCCGGGAACUCAAAGGAGACUGCCAGUGAUAAACUGGAGGAAGGUGGGGAUGACGUCAAGUCAUCAUGGCCCUUACGACCAGGGCUACACACGUGCUACAAUGGCGCAUACAAAGAGAAGCGACCU